This 253-nucleotide ribosomal RNA is filed under the name uncultured bacterium. RNAcentral's name for it is "partial 16S ribosomal RNA". It matches the Rfam family "Bacterial small subunit ribosomal RNA", at positions 524 to 776 of the family's 1533-position model. The record is from RNAcentral.
UACGUAGGGUGCAAGCGUUAAUCGGAAUUACUGGGCGUAAAGCGUGCGCAGGCGGUUUUGUAAGUCUGUCGUGAAAUCCCCGGGCUCAACCUGGGAAUGGCGAUGGAGACUGCAAGGCUAGAGUUUGGCAGAGGGGGGUAGAAUUCCACGUGUAGCAGUGAAAUGCGUAGAUAUGUGGAGGAACACCGAUGGCGAAGGCAGCCCCCUGGGUCAAAACUGACGCUCAUGCACGAAAGCGUGGGUAGCAAACAGG